CCUACGGGUGGCAGCAGUGAGGAAUAUUGGUCAAUGGACGCAAGUCUGAACCAGCCAUGCCGCGUGCAGGAUGACUGCUCUACGAGUUGUAAACUGCUUUUAUACGGGGGUAAACGCAGAUACGCGUACCUGUUUGAAUGUACCGUAUGAAUAAGGAUCGGCUAACUCCGUGCCAGCAGCCGCGGUAAUACGGAGGAUCCAAGCGUUAUCCGGAUUUAUUGGGUUUAAAGGGAGCGUAGGCGGGUGGUUAAGUCAGUUGUGAAAUUCUGCGGCUCAACCUUGAAAUUGCCUUUGAUACUGGCAGUCUAGAGAGCAGUUGAGGUAGGCGGAAUGUGUGGUGUAGCGGUGAAAUGCUUAGAGAUCAUGAAGAACUCCGAUUGCGAAGGCAGCUUACUAAGCUACCUCUGACAUUGAGGCUCGAAAGUGUGGGGAUCAAACAGGAUUAGAUACCCCAGUAGUC
This 460-nucleotide ribosomal RNA is filed under the name uncultured bacterium. RNAcentral's name for it is "partial 16S ribosomal RNA". It matches the Rfam family "Bacterial small subunit ribosomal RNA", at positions 338 to 795 of the family's 1533-position model. The record is from RNAcentral.